Molecule: ribosomal RNA, 253 nt
Filed under: uncultured bacterium
Lineage: Bacteria
Description: partial 16S ribosomal RNA
Rfam family: Bacterial small subunit ribosomal RNA
Source: RNAcentral
UACGUAGGAGGCGAGCGUUGUCCGGAGUUACUGGGCGUAAAGGGUGCGCAGGCGGCUUGGCAAGUUUAGGAUGAAAGCUCCUGGCUCAACUGGGAGUCGGUCUUGAAAACUGCCGAGCUUGAGACUCGGUGAGGGGCGUGGAAUUCCGGGUGGAGCGGUGAAAUGCGUAGAGAUCCGGAGGAACACCGACGGCGUAGGCAGCGCCCUAGACGAGUUCUGACGCUCAGGCACGAAAGCUGGGGGAGCAAACAGG